GCUGAAAAUACCUGUUCUCGUUCGAUCACGGGAGUUAAUCAGUGUCCGUCCCAGUCAGUACUUAGAUGGGUGACCGCUUGGAAAAACCGG
Acanthosepion pharaonis is the source of this 90-nucleotide non-coding RNA. The record is from the annotation of a GenBank genome assembly. Lineage: Eukaryota; Metazoa; Mollusca; Cephalopoda; Sepiida; Sepiidae.